AUUGAACGCUGGCGGCAGGCCUAACACAUGCAAGUCGAGCGGAUGAAGGGAGCUUGCUCCUGGAUUCAGCGGCAGACGGGUGAGUAAUGCCUAGGAAUCUGCCUGGUAGUGGGGGAUAACGUCCGGAAACGGGCGCUAAUACCGCAUACGUCCUGAGGGAGAAAGUGGGGGAUCUUCGGACCUCACGCUAUCAGAUGAGCCUAGGUCGGAUUAGCUAGUUGGUGGGGUAAAGGCCUACCAAGGCGACGAUCCGUAACUGGUCUGAGAGGAUGAUCAGUAACUGGAACUGAGACACGGUCCAGACUCCUACGGGAGGCAGCAGUGGGGAAUAUUGGACAAUGGGCGAAAGCCUGAUCCAGCCAUGCCGCGUGUGUGAAGAAGGUCUUCGGAUUGUAAAGCACUUUAAGUUGGGAGGAAGGGCAGUAAGUUAAUACCUUGCUGUUUUGACGUUACCAACAGAAUAAGCACCGGCUAACUUCGUG
RNAcentral lists this ribosomal RNA (482 nucleotides) under uncultured bacterium. RNAcentral describes it as "partial 16S ribosomal RNA". It matches the Rfam family "Bacterial small subunit ribosomal RNA", at positions 30 to 507 of the family's 1533-position model. The record is from RNAcentral.